UGCGCAGGUGGGAAUGUAAGUCAGUGGUGAAAUACUGCCGCUUAACGGUAGAAUUGCCAUUGAUACUGCAUUUCUUGAGUAUGGUUGAGGUAGGCGGAAUGUGUCGUGUAGCGGUGAAAUGCAUAGAUAUGACAUAGAACGCCGAUUGCGAAGGCAGCUUACUAAGCCAUUACUGACACUGAGGCACGAAAGCGUGGGGAGCGAACAGGAUUAGAUACCCUGGUAGUCC
Molecule: ribosomal RNA, 229 nt
Filed under: uncultured bacterium
Lineage: Bacteria
Description: partial 16S ribosomal RNA
Rfam family: Bacterial small subunit ribosomal RNA
Source: RNAcentral